Long non-coding RNA from Monodelphis domestica (gray short-tailed opossum), 5979 nucleotides. RefSeq lists it as uncharacterized. The record is from RefSeq and is a predicted model, not a curated record. NCBI's taxonomy places the organism in Eukaryota, Metazoa, Chordata, Mammalia, Didelphimorphia, Didelphidae.
CAAGCAGAACUCCUUGGGGCCUCCAGCUCUGGCGGAUGAGGAAACUGAGGCCCAGGACUCCAAAGCCUCCUCCUUGGAGGCAGGAAGCAGAGCCUGGAGUCAGCGGGCAUCUCUUGGGCUUUAAUGCCAUCAUCUGAGGCCUAAGUUCCGGAUCAGACAGACCGGCUGGCCGAGAAUCUCGGAGCUGGAAAGGACCUCCCCAGUCUGGGUCUCCAGGCCAUCCUUGAGUGGAGUGUGUGUGUAUGUGUGUGAGUGUAUAUGUGAGUGUAUGUGUGUAUGAGUGUGUAUGUGUGUGUAUAUGAGUGUGUAUGUAUGAGUGAGUUUAUGUGAGUGUGUAUAUGAGUAUGUAUGUGAGUGAGUAUGGGUAUGUGUGUAUAUAUGAGUGUGUGUAUGAGAGUGUGUAUGUAUGAGUUUGUGUGAGUGUGUAUGUGAGUGUGGGUAUGUGUGUAUGUGAGUGUGUGUAUAUGUGUGAGUGUAUGUGAGUGUGUGUGAGUGUGUGAGUAUGUGUAUGUGUGUGUGUGGUUCCCCCAGACAAAGUCCCCUAGAAGGAAGCUUGUCUCCUGCCUCCCCAGGAAGCCCACUCCAUUGCCUCGGAUGGCCUCUGCAAGUGCCCCUCUGUGACGAUGAGGCGUUCUGAGGAAGGCAAACAGUUGAUUAUAACCAAUGAACCAACAGGGCAGCGAUUUCUCUGGGUCCUCAGAAACCCUGACGCUUGGGCUCAAGGAUCCCUAGCUGGUCUGGAGAGCUCAUGAUGCAUGUAUUAAUUAGAAUCUUGAAUCUUUGGACUACAUUUCCCACAAUUCCCUUUGCCUCCAUCAUGAGGGUUGGCAAUCCCCGAUUUGGGCCCAUACCCCCAGGGUCUGCUCAGUCAGAAGUGACCAGAUCCAGUGUUUCUCAAGAGAGAUUCAAGGGCUUGGUGCCAUUGGGAAGCAGACAUAUCUAGAAGCCUAAGCUGGUUUGUAUUCACCAGGCAAGAUGGAACACCUACUCUCACCCUGGGAGUGAUGGCAGAUGGAUGGAGCGUCCCCUGAAGUUCCUGGGAACCAAGGAAUGAGUCCAGAAGUUGAGGGAUGAACCUGAGCCUCAGCUCAAAGCCCCAGAGUAGAAAUAAUUCAGCAGAGUAGAAAUUCUCUCACCUCUGUGGGCCAGUCCCACUCCCAAUGGACCACCUCCUCAGCUCCUGGAGGCUAUUGCUCCUUGCUCUCUGCUCCUCUUCUCUUCACCCUUCUGGUUGGCCUCUUUGAAUAUGAUUAUUAUUUUCAAAUGUAAUUUCAGAUUCAUUUUCAUUAAAAUUUGUAAUUUCUAAAUUAGUCACUGUAGGAUGAUAAAUUUCAGCCUCUAGGUUCAAAUUAGAUGUUUCUUCUAAGGAAAUAUGUACCAUAUAGCUAUUCAAAGAAUUAACUUGUUCAUGUGGGGUUUUAUUUUUUUCUGUGAGUGUUUGCAGGUCUUUUCCAGCUCCAUUAACAUCAUUUGUAAUAGUAAACUAGUGCUUUGAUUUUCUGCUACAGUCCUUUUGCUGUAGGGAAUUGAAAUUUUUUUUCACAGUGUCUUUCACCAGCUCCUGUUUAGGUAUAUAUGAGUUUUCAUAACUUUUUAUUGUACAAAAUUCAAUCCCUGUGCCCAAUCUGCACCGAAAAAAGUUUUCUAAGUAUGUUUUAAUUUGUUUUCUACUUUUUAUGAGUGGUUACUAUACAGUGUCUCUCUGAGUCUCCUAUUUCAGUUUGUAUCUGAGUAAUGAUAUUUUAACUUCUUCAUCUAGCUCCUUCAUUUAUCUCUUUUUCACUUGGUAUUUUGCUUGGUUUGCUCUUACCAUUACUCACAGAUUUAGUUUUCUGCAUCACCUGUGCAUUGUCCCUUUUCUGUUUUCUCUUUUGUUUUAUACCAGCCUGUCUCUUACUAUUUGCACCUCUCUAUCUCCAUGCACAAAACUAAAUACAUUAUGGUUUUCGCUUCAUAAGUCCUUUCUUACAAUAUCUGCAUAAUUGGGCUUAGUUCCUGCAUUUAUAGCUUCACACAUUUCCUGAAGGUUUGAUGCUUCCUGAUUUGAUCUUGUAACCGCCAAAACAUGGUUGCCAAAACUGUAAAUGUUAAAAACUGUAAAAUGCCAAACUGUAAUGGUUUUGGCCAAACUGUAAAGGAUAAUUUUUGUGUUUUGACUUAAAAUCAAAAAUAAGUGGUCGCUAUGGGAAAUUCCCAAAUAUGAAAAAUACCCAAGUCAUCUGGGGAUUUAUGAAGAUUUUAAUUAAUAUAAAUGAAGGAAUUAAGGGAAGGAGAGAGAGAGACAUAGAGAGGGAGAAUAGCCAAGCAGUAGAAAAGGGCCUGGGCCAUUUGGCCCAGGCCUGAGCCUAAGGGAGAGCAAGUCAGUCUUUAUCACUCACCAAAAGAUUGUCUCCAAGCUGGGUUCUUUCACUCCGAACUGAAAUUAGCCUCCAAACUGAAUUCAACUGCAAACUCAAUUCAAAAUAUCCUCACUUCAACUCCCAACUCCAACUCCAACUAACUUCAAAUACGACUCCCAAAUUCAAUAAGCCCCUUCCUUUUAAGGAAAUUUAAAGAAAUCACCUCCCCUAAAUUUUUACGUCUACCAAUCACAGUAGAUGCUUUUUCCCAGGACUGCCCAUUCUUAGUUCUCAUCUUCUUUUGUUCUCACCUUCUCUGGUUAGAUUAAAUCCACUGCAUACUUCACACCUCUUUUUUUAAGCUCACCUUUUGUAAGUUGCUUGACCUUUUAGUGAUUAAUUUAACCUUUAUAGGUACUUAUCACCUUUUUGUAGUAGAUCUAAAAAGAGACCUAGUUUAAGGUUCUAGCUUUACUAUAAGCAUGAGUUAGGGACUUUUCAUUGUUCAAUUAGGAGUUUUCAACUUUAUCUUCCCCUAAGGCAUUGUCUGAGUAGGGUGGAGUAAUUUUAAAAGUUCUCAAUACAUUCCUGAUCAAGUACCUCCAUUCUUAAAAAUGGGGAAUAGCUUAAUCAAAUCUUCUGAAGUAGAGUCUGAGUAGUUUUAAGAUUCAAAAUCUUAAAGUGCAGUGUUUGCAGCAGGUAUUUUUCUGCUAAUUAUAGUGUUUUAUUUGUGUGUUCUUGUUGUUAACUUCACAUUUUUUUUUAAGAAAACAGUCUUUUAUUAGGUGUCCAGUUUUGUGACAGAAAAAGCAUUGUCUGGUCUCCCUUUGUACUUUCCUUUGCUGAUAGGAAGUUUUGUGUAUGUUUUGAACGUAUUGAGAUUUUUAAUUUCUUGGAUCUCUUUUUCCUUUAGGCUCUGUUCUGUAUCCUGUAAUUUCUGUUUUAAUUCUGAUAACUGUCUAUUCUGAUCUGUGUGACUAUCAUAAAGAUAUGAUGCAGAGUCUCAAAGCUCUGAAAGAUUCACUGAAUCAUAUUUGGGGAAAUAGUUCUUGAAGAAAUUCCCAAGGUGUGGUGUGAACCCUCUUAAAAAUUGUCUUCUAGACUCUUCAGAAUCUGUCUCUAUUCCCAUGAUAGCCUCUGAGGUCUCAGAAAGGCAGUCUCUGAAUGUGGAUAGAUGCUCACACUUUUCUUGGACCAUUUUGUGAAAUUUACCCCAAGCAUUUGACUUGGAACAACACAUCUUGAUUGCCUGGAGCAAAUCCUCCCUGAAUUUCCUCAGAGAGGUCAUUCAUACCAGCUUAGAGAAGUAAAUAUCCUCUCUAUGCUCCUCAGUUGGCCAGCUCGUCAGGGUGCUCUCAGAUCUCGUUUUGUCUAUGAAUUUGGCGAUGUUCAUGGGGGCUAAAUAAUUCUGCCAAAAAGAACUUUGUGUCAUCAAAGCUUGUUUCAAAAAUAUGAAAAGCCCUUUUUAAUUCCUUGUGAGAUCUAUGAGGCUCUGAGAUAAAUUUUGGGAAUCUUUUCUUGAUAGAAUCCAAUUCUGUGUUGUGAAUUGUUUAUGGACUUUGGAGUAUAACACUCCAGCUGUGUCAGAAAUCUUAGUAAUGUCCUUUAAUGGAAAAAUUUUCUCAGCCUCUUUGUUUUCAUUAGUGUCCUUGUCCUUGCCAUUUCCCUGUGCACCCAACUUGUUUUUCUUGGCCUUCUUUUCUUUAUCCUUUGUUACAUUGUGUGCCUGUCCAUUUCCAUUAUCUUUGAUCUGAUCUAACCCCUUUAUCUUUAAAAAUUCUAAGUAAGAGUCUGUAUUGUAGCCUUGGUAAAAAUGUAAGCCUGAGUUAGUACUUGCCAUAGGAUAGUAUCUUUUAAUGGCAGGUUUAGUAUAAAAGUGGUGGUAUUUUUUAGGCACUCCAUAGUUUCUAGUACUAUAGUGUAAAAAUAGACUCGAAUUCAGGACUCCAAUCCCCAGAAUCCUUUUAUCCACGUCCCCAGAGUGCUUUGUAAUCACACUGAAUUCUCGCCUGGGUGAGAACACAAAUGAUUAUUUAAAGGAGUUCUCUGCCUACUGAGGGGUCUUUUGGACUUCCGUUUUGGAGCAGACACAUCUCUUCCAUGACAUGAAAUUAUCUUGUCUAGGCCUCUCUGGCCUAGGCAUGUGCUUUCUCAUUUUGUAUUUUCUUUAAUCCUUAAUCUUCAAUGAACCUCAUAAAAUAUAAUACUCCUUACAGAGAGAGACUAAUUUCUGCCUGCCUCAGUCUCCCUAAAUUUUUAUCUUUAUACUAGUGGUCUUAGUACUACCCCCAAUAGGCGGCAAUUAUUGCCAACACUAUCAUCCCACACGCUAUUUGUUUGAGCAUCUUGUCUUCUCUCUUUGGCUUCCUCUCCAGGAUGUGGGUACAGUCUAUUCAGGGAGCCCAGCUGUAUUCGGGGACUAUUUUAAGGGGAGGAUGACAAUUUCAAGCCCAGAUCGGCCAGUCUCCUUCCUCCCCUCCCCUCUCCCUGUCCUUCCUGCCUCUUCCCCUCCCCCUAAGUCGGUCCUUCUGCUGGUAUCACUGACGUCAGCUCAGAGAACCCCCACCCUACUCUCUAGUGUCCUGCCCUCCACCCACAGGUGAGAAGUAAAAACUGCAGGCAAUUUAAAAUACUACUACUAAUCUGGGGUGUAUGGGGUGCUCAGGGAAGGGUAGGGGUGUAUGGGGUGCUCAGGGAGGGGUAGGGGUGUAUGGGGUGCUCAGGGAGGGGUAGUAUCUCUGGUAUGGAGGGCUUGUCGUGCCCUCCUAGGGCAGCUCUCCAGCCUCUGACCCCCACCUGACACCCAGCUCUCACUGGUGGCUCCCAGUAGCUGCUAGCAUGCGGCAGCGGCCACACCCCGGACAACGGCUUGGACAGGCCGACUAAACCUUGGGAGGGUAGCCAUCGGGUCGUCGACCCCUGGUGAACCAGGGCUUUGCUCACCCAGCAUGUGAAGACUGCUUCGGCGGAACAGGUGGAAGAAAGCAACAAGAAGGUUCAACGGCUGAGAGGGCAACGCAGCAAAGCACUGUGGAGUGCUCAGGGCGUGUUGGAGCACAAAGGACAACACGGCCAUCCAAUGCAGCUGAGGAAGUCUCCAGGUGUAACGACUCUUCGUGCCGCUGGACCCAGGCUUGGGGCUGUCUCUGUGCAUCGACUCUUCCACUUAAAUCUCCUUCACGCACAAGUGUCUGUGCACACUCGCACACAGACAAUCGCCAUCCCCGGCUUGUCGACGGUUAAAAAGGUGUGGCUAGCCCCUGGUAUAAUCAGCACAGGCUCUAAAGUGUCUGCAGCUUGUCCCACUCAACGGGCUUUUCAUGACAUGCUUUUGGUGGGCACCCUCCGGCUUACACACCUUUUGAGCAUUUACAAACGGACUUAUUACCGCACCCAAGGUUGGGUAUUAUAUAUUUCAUCUGGCCACAGUAGCGCUUGUUGCUAAGAUGCUCUUAAGGGAGACUGUCCCUUGCGUUGGCAUGCCAGCACAGGUGGAUUCAGACAGGGGAACUAAUUUUACUAAUUCUUUCUUGUCUCAGAUUAAUUCUUGUUUCAGGGUCACUCACCAAUUCCAUGUACCCUAAUACUCCAAGGUCUCAAGCCAUGAAGAAAGAAUAAAUGGUAAUCUUAAAAAUAGGAA